GGGGGAUAACAUUUGGAAACAGAUGCUAAUACCGCAUAACAACAAAAGCCACAUGGCUUUUGUUUGAAAGAUGGCCUUGGCUAUCACUCUGGGAUGGACCUGCGGUGCAUUAGCUAGUUGGUAAGGUAACGGCUUACCAAGGCGAUGAUGCAUAGCCGAGUUGAGAGACUGAUCGGCCACAAUGGAACUGAGACACGGUCCAUACUCCUACGGGAGGCAGCAGUAGGGAAUCUUCCACAAUGGGCGCAAGCCUGAUGGAGCAACACCGCGUGAGUGAAGAAGGGUUUCGGCUCGUAAAGCUCUGUUGUUGGAGAAGAACGUGCGUGAGAGUAACUGUUCACGCAGUGACGGUAUCCAACCAGAAAGUCACGGCUAACUACGUGCCAGCAGCCGCGGUAAUACGUAGGUGGCAAGCGUUAUCCGGAUUUAUUGGGCGUAAAGCGAGCGCAGGCGGUUGCUUAGGUCUGAUGUGAAAGCCUUCGGCUUAACCGAAGAAGUGCAUCGGAAACCGGGCGACUUGAGUGCAGAAGAGGACGGUGGAACUCCAUGUGUAGCGGUGGAAUGCGUAGAUAUAUGGAAGAACACCAGUGGCGAAGGCGGCUGUCUGGUCUGCAACUGACGCUGAGGCUCGAAAGCAUGGGUAGCGAACAGGAUUAGAUACCCUGGUAGUCCAUACCGUAAACGAUGAGUGCUAGGUGUUGGAGGGUUUCCGCCCUUCAGUGCCCGGAGCACAGAGCAUUAACGCCCUCCGCCUGGGGAGUCGAACAGCAAGGUAGAAAAUCAAAGAAAUUAACAGGGGCCCGCACAAGCGGUGGAGCAAGUGGUUUAAUUCGAAGCUACGCGAAGAACCUUACCAGGUCUUGACAUCUUGCGCUAACCUUAGAGAUAAGGCGUUCCCUUCGGGGACGCAAUGACAGGUGGUGCAUGGUCGUCGUCAGCUCGUGUCGUGAGAUGUUGGGUUAAGUCCCGCAACGAGCGCAACCCUUGUUACUAGUUGCCAGCAUUAAGUUGGGCACUCUAGUGAGACUGCCGGUGACAAACCGGAGGAAGGUGGGGACGACGUCAGAUCAUCAUGCCCCUUAUGACCUGGGCUACACACGUGCUACAAUGGACGGUACAACGAGUCGCAAGCUCGCGAGAGUAAGCUAAUCUCUUAAAGCCGUUCUCAGUUCGGACUGUAGGCUGCAACUCGCCUACACGAAGUCGGAAUCGCUAGUAAUCGCGGAUCAGCAUGCCGCGGUGAAUACGUUCCCGGGCCUUGUACACACAGCCCGUCA
This 1277-nucleotide ribosomal RNA is filed under the name uncultured bacterium. Its description in RNAcentral is "bacterial SSU rRNA". It matches the Rfam family "Bacterial small subunit ribosomal RNA", at positions 138 to 1399 of the family's 1533-position model. The record is from RNAcentral.